This 253-nucleotide ribosomal RNA is filed under the name uncultured bacterium. Its description in RNAcentral is "partial 16S ribosomal RNA". It matches the Rfam family "Bacterial small subunit ribosomal RNA", at positions 524 to 776 of the family's 1533-position model. The record is from RNAcentral.
UACGUAGGGGGCUAGCGUUGUCCGGAAUCAUUGGGCGUAAAGAGCGUGUAGGCGGCCCGGUAAGUCCGCUGUGAAAGUCGGGGGCUCAACCCUCGGAUGCCGGUGGAUACUGUCGGGCUCGAGUACGGAAGAGGCGAGUGGAAUUCCUGGUGUAGCGGUGAAAUGCGCAGAUAUCAGGAGGAACACCUAUUGCGAAGGCAGCUCGCUGGGACGUUACUGACGCUGAGACGCGAAAACGUGGGGAGCGAACAGG